AUACGGAGGUUGCAAGCGUUAAUCGGAAUUACUGGGCGUAAAGCGUACGUAGGCGGUUAGUUAAGUUAGAUGUGAAAGCCCCGGGCUUAACCUGGGAACUGCAUUUAAAACUGGCUAACUAGAGUUAAGUAGAGGGGAGUGGAAUUUCAGGUGUAGCGGUGAAAUGCGUAGAGAUCUGAAGGAACACCAGUGGCGAAGGCGACUCCCUGGACUUGAACUGACGCUGAGGUACGAAAGCGUGGGUAGCAAACGGGAUUAGAUACCCCAGUAGUCC
This 274-nucleotide ribosomal RNA is filed under the name uncultured bacterium. RNAcentral's name for it is "partial 16S ribosomal RNA". It matches the Rfam family "Bacterial small subunit ribosomal RNA", at positions 523 to 796 of the family's 1533-position model. The record is from RNAcentral.